UGGGGAAUAUUGCACAAUGGGCGCAAGCCUGAUGCAGCCAUGCCGCGUGUAUGAAGAAGGCCUUCGGGUUGUAAAGUACUUUCAGUUGGGAGGAAGGUGGUAAGGUUAAUAACCUUAUCAAUUGACGUUACCGACAGAAGAAGCACCGGCUAACUCCGUGCCAGCAGCCGCGGUAAUACGGAGGGUGCAAGCGUUAAUCGGAAUUACUGGGCGUAAAGCGCACGCAGGCGGUUGAUUGAGUCAGAUGUGAAAUCCCCGGGCUUAACCCGGGAAUUGCAUCUGAUACUGGUCAGCUAGAGUCUUGUAGAGGGGGGUAGAAUUCCAUGUGUAGCGGUGAAAUGCGUAGAGAUGUGGAGGAAUACCGGUGGCGAAGGCGGCCCCCUGGACAAAGACUGACGCUCAGGUGCGAAAGCGUGGGGAGCAAACAGG
Molecule: ribosomal RNA, 429 nt
Filed under: Chloroflexota bacterium
Lineage: Bacteria; Bacillati; Chloroflexota
Description: Chloroflexi bacterium partial 16S ribosomal RNA
Rfam family: Bacterial small subunit ribosomal RNA
Source: RNAcentral